GGCGUGAUGGGCGGGGUUUGGCCCUCGGGGCGGAAGCGUGGCGAGAUGGGCGGGGUUUGGCCGGAAGGCCAGAAGCGCGUGGAAGGCGUGGCCGGAGGGCGGAGGCUGGGCGGUGCGGGCGAGAUGGAGCCGAAACUUGGGUUCCAUGAGCUCCUGCACGUUUUCUCCUUCCUGGAGGCCCGAGACCUGCUCUGCGCCGCCCAGGUGGACAAGGUCUGGAAUGAGGUUUCAGGGACCAAGGAACUGUGGAGGCAGCUGUGUCUGAGACGCUGGUCAUCAUGUAAAACCUCCCAGAUGACCUUGGGCACACAAACAUGGAAAGAGUACUAUCUCUGCCGAUCCGAGCUGGAGUUCCGAAUGGAAUGUGGGCGGCCAGAGAAGGACUUCAUCUGCAAAGCCAUUGCCGGGCACACAGGAGAGAUAGACGAGCUGGCUUACAUCUCAACCAAGGAGUGCCGGUUUGAUGGGCAAGAGAAGUCCAUGGUGUGCACCGUGUCCUCGGACAGCACCGUCCGUGCCUGGGAUGUGCAGGAGGGCACAGAGAUCUGGUCAAGCCCUCUGCAGCCUGCUGCUCUGGUGAACGUGGUGACCUUCCCUCGGCUCCAGCUGGCCAUCACCGUGGAUGAGCGGGGCCUCAUCAAGGUUUGGGGAGCGGAGAAUGGAUGGGAGCAGGCCUCCUUCCGCCUGCCUACAUUCUCGUCUGCAUUGCAGGCCUGCGACCAUCCAGAGGGCCCUUUCCUGCUGGUGGCCUGUGCCGAGGGCUUCCUGUAUGCGCUCACGGUGCCCCAGCUGCAGCUGCGGUCCAGGACUCGCGUGUUCCCGAGCAGCCCCACCAGUCUCCUCUGCUCUCCUGACUGCCAGUGGGUGUUUGCUUCAACCCAGAACUCAGACCUGGGCCCGAAGGUGUUCCACACUCGCUCCCUGCUGUGUCUGGUGGAGGAUGAGCCUCCCGUCUCCACCACUCUACCCAUCUGGCUGACCUCCAGAGCCUGCUGGGCCCCUGACGAGACAGCCAGGCUGAUGGUGACGCACAGAAAUGACAACGGCAUGCAGCUGGUCAUCACCACCUACGAGCUCAGGACCAAGCAGUCACGGGAAGGGGUAGACGUCGUGGUACAACAGAUGGCAAGUUUCCUCCUGCCCAACUCCAUGAUACCUCCUCACCUCAUGAAGGGCCACGGCUCUCAGGUGAUCCUGCUGGUGUCCGGGUCGGAGCUGGCGCUCUUCACCAUCCACGGGGUGCAGCUGGCAGCCUUCCAGGACCACCAGAGGCCCAUCACGUCCAUGUGGGUGGACCAGAGCCGAGUCAUCACCGCUUCCUUUGACCUAUCCCUGCGAGUCUAUGUGUGGAAUAAAGAAACGAAGCCUCCCGUCCUCAAGAGCUGCUAUCACCUGCUUGGGGGCUCCCACAGAUGGGCCAGUGGAUUCACCCAUGUGGAAGGUGACAGUAUGAGCAUUGUAGGUGUGGAAGCCAGAAACAUUGGGACGAGUAUUCUGAGGUCAUAUUGCUUCAAAGUGCAGCGUGGCUCAGAUGACUGCAUCAAUUGAAGAUGAUCUCACUUUGGUGAAGAGCUUGUCUACAUACAGACUAAAUGAUGACUUAACACCAUUGAAACAGAAAUGAGCAAUUCUCAGAUACCUGUUAUGGACCAGGCACUGUGCUAUGUGACUUUUUUUUAAUCCUCACAAACCAGUUAAAGAGGUAUGAUGUCUCUGUUUUUCAGAUGAGGAACAGGACCAGUAAUGGGAGAGUAACCCAUUAUUGGCCCGUUGUCCAGCUGCCACGCCACCUGCCUAAGCUUGUUCAGAUAGUAAGUGGUAGAGAGGAGUGGAUGCCAGAAGGCCCAAGUACAAGGGCCUGGGCUUGUACCAUGAUUAUUUUGUUGUUAGAUAUGUAACGAAGUAAGGACAUGGUUUUUCCCCCCAUUCUGUUAUGUGCUUUAGGCACACGUUAAUAAAUGGUUGUGUGGCACCACACUGCCCAGCUCUAGGGAUGCCAUUCUGUGUCUUGUACAGAUGGCAUCCCUGGAGUUGGUCCACAGGGAGGCCCUGGCUGCUUUGGUGGGUGGGUUACCGGGGUUCUCAGCUACAGGCAGCAGGGACAGAAAGCUAGCUAACUAACACCAAGAAAGGAAUUUACUGGAAGGAGAUAGAGAAGUGUGCUGGGUCAGCGGGGGGGGGGGGGCUGGAGAAACAGAUCUGGAACCGUAGGAAGCAGGGCCUGUUCCAGCAGUGUCUGGCCUUCCGUCCCUGUUUUCCCCAACACUUCCACGCUGCUGCCACUGCAUCUGUGGCACUGACACCAUCUGAAAACUUACCAGCUGCUUCUGGGGAAGGGUGACUUCAAGGCUGGGAACACCAGAAUGUGAGUGUGAUUUUCUGACUUUGCCGCAAGCCCUCACCAUCCAGGCCAGGAUGGGAGAGUCUGACCCUUUAAGCUUCAAUAGAGCAGCUCCCAGUCCAGACUCACACUGUGAAAAAUUCUUCAAAACUAGGAAAAGUUCCUGAGAAACAGACAAUGAGGAUGAAAAGCUCGCUACCGCAGCCUGCCACUUCAGCUGUCCAGUACCGAUACCCCCUUGCCCAGUACUUGCACGUUAUACCCAACACAGCACCUGUGUCCCAUAUAAGCCCAGACGCAGUUAUUUACCCAAGAGGAGAAGAUCUGUGUCCUCCCCCUUUUGAAAUCUAAGAUGUGUUUUGGGGUAAUUUUACAUUUACAGAAAAGUUGCAAAAAUAGGGCAGUGGAUCCCCAUAUAUCUUGCUCAGCCUCCCCUCGUGUGAAUACCUUACAUAAGGUGGGCAUUUGGAAACCCAAAGUCUUUGUCAGCUUGAAGUCAGAACUCUCUGUUUGUCCCAUCACAGUCCUACCGGGUGUUCAGCGGUCCUAGUGCAUCCUGCUUACAGCCAUGGGGGAAGGGAGAGGAGGCAAAAAAUUCGCUGAAAAACACACACACAUGACACAGCAAGAAAGGAAAUAGCUGUGCAGAAGAUAAAGGGAAGAUUCAGGUAAGUUGAGAUAGAGGAGUUUUUGCUGAAGACACGGGAAAGGGGUUGGAAUGUUGGCAAAAGAGGGGAGGUCCGAUAAGGGACUGGUGAGGGUACAAGCCACCCGAGAGGCAUGGACAUGUGAUAGCUGGGGAAGCAGUGUGGUCAGUUCUUAGGGAAGGCACCCCACCAGGGCCUCAUAUGUGCUGGCAGCAGCAUUAAAUGGUGUCACGUCUGGGUGUGGUGGCCCUGCCCAAGGACAGCUCUGUGGUGCGGGAGGCUUAGGGAGAGAGUUGCCCUAACUCGAGCACAGGAGACUCUUGCAGAAACCAUGUGUUGAGUCUGGCAGAUGGGCUCCUUAGGGAAAAGCAACAUCUAUGAGGUGUGAUGCCACACCCUGGGGGAAACACAGGAAGUGUGUCCUGCUCCCAGGUACUCUAAAUCCAAGUUCUGAGGCUUCUUUCCCUUUGAGGGCUGAUGCUGCCGGGGAGCAUGAGGGCCUUAGCAGCACCUCUGAUUCCUGCCAGCAGGUAGAUCUCAACCUUCCUCAGAGCCUCUGUUACUGCAGGUGCAGCCCAAGAUAUUCUGUAUAAGUACAGAAAAUACUGAAAAAAAUUCCCUAGUUCUUGGCCACAGGUGACAUCUUAACAAUUUCUAAAAUAUUAAUUACUAACUAUAAUAAUGCCUUUUUAAAAAGACAGUUACCACAAACACAAUCACUCUUUAAAUUCACUUUUAUUUUUUAAAGUUUAUUUUUAUCUUGAGAGAGAGAGGAAGAGAGAGAGAAUCGCAAGCCGGCUCCAUGCUGUCAGUGCAGAGUCUGACACAAGGCUUGGACACACAAACUGUGAGAUCAUGACCUGAGCUGAAACCAAGAGUCAGGUGCUUGACUGAUUGAGCCACCCAGGCGCCCCUAAAAUUCACUUUUAAGUAAUUGAUGGGUUAAGUAGAAAGUACAAAAUAAGAAUGGAAGAUAAUUUUCUUAACUGGAUAAAGGGGAUACAAAAGAGCAAAAAUGCUUAAUGAUGAGUAGUCAGAAAUGUUUCCACUGAUGCUAGAAACAAGGUAAGUGUGACAUUGGUCACCACCAUAAUUAAGUAUUGCCCUACAGGGGGAGGAGUCAACAUGGUGGAGAAGUAGGGGGACCCAAAGUUCCCUUGUCCGUCAAACAUAGCAGUAUUGAGGCCAGAAGACUUGGAAUUCCAGGCUACAGAGUGACAAAAACAUCUCCAGGGGCCCAUGAGGAUAGCUUGGCAGGCCAUAGGUGCAUGACUGUGAAUUGGGAGAGAGAAAAUGGACAGUGUAGGCAUGGAGGGGAGGAAUCCCCUUCGGUGGAGAGACAAAAGGAAGAGACUGUGUAGGAUUGUAUUUGGACAAAAGAAAAACGUCCAGACCAUAGACUAGGGAACAGAAAAAAACGGAGAAGGAACAAAUUCCUAACACAAUCCAGGGUUGCAGGGCUUUCUCUGGACUGGGGUCUGCUGCCCUACACACGUGCCCUGGGGGAAGGGGGAGGCAGAGCCCAGCCCUGGGCUCAGUAGCCAGUCCAGAGGUGCAGUCAGAGGAGUCCUGUCCCUUGAGUGGUGUGGGAAGAAGGUAUAUAGCCUCCAAGGACAAAAGACCCUGCAGGUGCCCACCAGCCAGAAGCCCUUUGUCAUCUGGUUGGGUAGAGUGGCACGGCCCCAGAACCGGGGCUUGUGGAGUGGGAUCCCUUAAGACAUCAGGGUUUGAGUCCCAGCCAAGUGCCUGGGAGGUGUGGGAGACUCUGGAGUGGGACAAACUGGCCUGCUUGUGCCCCCGCAGCACUGUGAGAACAACCUGAACAGAGUGGUCUGGGACACCCAGUCCGGGAAGGAGAAACUGGGGUUUCACCAUUUUUCUCCCCAUCCAACAAGGUGGGGCUUCAGGGAAGGGACAGCAGGCCCACAGUGGAGGCGGGACUCACCUCUACAAAUUGUGCCCCUCCAUGCCUGGUAACUGCGUAUCUACAAGAGCGGAAUUGAUGCUGACAAAUCAGACAGCCUCUCCUCCAGACCAGCACAGCCACCGACUCCAAGGCACUGUCAUAUAUUGGUCCAGUGGUUUUGCAUUUUCUGAUAUGAUUAUUGGUCAAUUCUUAUUAUAGAUUAUAUACAUAUAUAUUAUUAUAUGUAUACACAUAUAUCAUAUGUAUAUAUGUGUGUGUGUGUGUACAUAUAUAUGUGUAUAUAUGUAUAUGUAUGUGUAUAUAUACACACACACACACAUUUCUUCCUCAUUUCUUUCUUCCUCAUUUCUUCCCUUCUCUUUUCUGGUUGUCCGUUUGUUUAAGCAGACACUUUUAAUCUAGUCUUUUUACACCUAUUCUGUAUCUCCUUUAUUUUCCUCUCUCUCUGGAUUAAACCAUGUAGUUUCUCUGAUUCUCUCCCUGGUCAAUUUUUUUUUUCUUUUCUUUUCCUCACCACCAUCAUUUCUCUCUUUCUAUGGGAUAAGGCUUCUUCCACCACCACCCCCCUUUUUAAAAUUUUUCCAGGGUCACUUCAGUGAACAAGUCAAACCACAACUGGUGGAAGAUCCAAACCGCCACUAUGAGUAAGAAGAGAAAGCAACCAGAGUCACAACAACAGAGAGCACGCAACACACUCCAAAAACACCUCCUGAAGGGUCAGGCCCUGGACAGUGUAUGACCCCUUUUUAAUAUAGUAGUGCUUGUAGGUGCAGGACACAUAACAAGCUAUUAAAACACAUGAAGGAUAGAAAACUAGCCCAAAUGACAAAACGUAACUCUCACUAAAAAUUCCAGGAAGAAAUGGCAGCUAGAGAAUUGCUCAAAACAGAUAAAAACAAUAUAACUGAUCAAGAAUUUAGAAUAAUAGUCAUAAGAUUAAUAGCUGGGCUUGAAAAAGCAUAGAAAACAGAGAAUCUAUUGCUGCAGAGAUCAAGGAACUAAGGCAUAGUCACGACAAAUUAAGAAAUGUUGUAAAUGAGGUGCAAAAUAAACUGCAAUGACAGCAAGGAUGGAGGAAUCAGAGGGGAGAAUAAGUGAAAUAGAAGAUGAAGUAUGGAAAAUGAUGAAGCUGAGAAAAUGAUAAGAAAAUGCUAGACCAUGAAGGGAGAAUUAGAGAACUGAUUCAGUGAAAUGUAAUAAUACCCAUAUCAUAGGAGUUCAGAAGAAGAAGGAGAGAGAGAAAGGGGCAAAAGGUUUACUUGAACAAAUUGUAGUUGGGAACUAACCUAAUCUGGGUAAGGGAGCAUAAAUCCAAAUCCAGGAGGCACAGAGAAUUCUUCAGAAUCAACAAAAAUAGGUCUUCAACAUGGCAUAACAUAGCUAAACUGGCAAAAACAAAGAUAAAGAGAAUUCUGGAAGCAGUUGGGGAAAAACAGGCCUUAACCUAUAAGGAUAGACACAUAAAGGUAGUAGCAGACCUGUCUACUGAAAUUUGGCAAGCCAGAAGGGACUGCCAGGAAAUAUUCAAUGUGCUGAAUAGGAAAAAUAUACAGCCAAGAAUCCUUUAUCCAGCAAGGCCAUCAUUUAGAAGGAGAGAUUAAGGCUUUCCCAGACAAGAGCUGAAGGAGUUCAUGACCACUAAACCAGCCUUGCAAGAGAUCCUAAAGGACACUCUGAGUGGAAUGCUGUAAAGACUACAAAGGACCAGAGACAUCACCACAAACAUGAAACCCACAGAUAACACAGUGACAUUAAGUCCCUAUCGUUCAGUAAUAACUUUGAAUGUGCAUGGACUCAGUGCUCCAAUCAAAAAACAUAGGGUAUCAGAAUGGAUUAAAAAAAAAAAGAUCCAUCUAUAUGCUGUCUACAAGAGACUCAUUUUAGACCUGAGGACACCUUCAGAUUGAAGGGGAUGAAACACCAUCUAUCAUUCUACUAGAAGUCAAAAGAAUGCUGGAGUAGGCAUACUUAUAUCAGACAAACUAGGUUUUAAACUGAAGACUGUAACAAGAGAUCAAGAAGGGCAUUACAUCAUAGUUACAGGAUCUAUCCAUCAAGAAGAGCUAACAACUGUAAAUGUUUAUGCCCCCAACUUGAGAGCACCCAAAUAUAUAAAUCAAUUAAUCACAAACGAGUAAUCUUAUUGAUAAGAAUACAGUAAUUGUAGGUGACUUUAAUACUCCUCUAGGCAGGAAAUCAAUAAAGAAACAAUGGCCUUGAAUGGUACACUGGACCAGAUGGACUUGAUAGGUAUAUUCAGAACCUUUCAUCCAAGAGCAGCCAUAUACACAUUCUUGAGUGCACAUGGAACAUUCUCCAAGAUAGAUCACAUACUGGGUCACAAAAAAUGAAAACACGACGGUCCAAACCCUUUGGGAUGCAGCAAAGGCAGUGCUAAGAGGUAAAUACGUUGCAAUCCAGGCCUAUCUCAAGAAAUAAGAAAAAUCCCAAAUACAAACCUAGCCUCACACCUAAGGGAAUUAGUAGCAGAGCAGCAAAGAAAGCCCAAAGCCAACUGGAGAAGAGAAAUAAUAAAGAUUAGAGCAGAAAUAAUAAUAAAAAAAAAACAGUAUAACAGAGCAAUGAAUCUAAGAGGUUUUUUUGAAAGAAUAAACAAACUGGAUAAACCCCUAGCUAGACUUCUCAAAAAGAAAAGAGAACCCAAAUAGAUAAAAUCAUGAAUGAAAGAAGAGAGAUCACAACUAAUGCCACAGAAAUGCAAACAAUUAUUGAAUAUGAAAAAUUAUAUGCCAACAAACUGGACAACCUGGAAGAAAUGGACAAAUUCCUAGGUGCCCACACACUACCAAAACUCAAACGGGAAGAAAUAGAAAAUUUGAACUAAAUCAGUUAUCAAAAAUCUCCCAACAAAUAAGAGUCCUGGUCCAGAUGACUUUCCAGGGGAAUUCCACCAGACAUUUACAGCAGAGUUAAUACAUUCUUCUCAAGCUGUUCCAAAAACUAGAACUGGAAGGAAAGUUUCUGGACUCAUUCUAUGAAGCCAGCAUUACCUUGAUUCCCAAACCAGACAGAGAUACCACUAAAAAGAAGAAUUAUCCCUGAUGAAUAUGGGUGUGAAAAUUCCCAACAAGAUACUAACAAAUCAAAUUCAACAGCACAUAAAAAUUAUUAACCGUGAUCAAGUGAGAUUCAUUCCUGGGCUGCAGAGCUGGUUCAACAUUCGCAAAUCAAUCAGUGUGAUACAUCACGUUAAUAGAAGGAAGGAUAAGAACCAUGUGAUCCUGUCAACAGAUGCAGAAAAAGCAUUUGACAAAAUACAGCAUCCUUUUUAAGUAAAAACCCUCAAGAAAGUCAGGAUAGAAGGAACAUACCUUAACAUCAUAAAAACCACACAUGAAAAGGCCACAGCCAAUAUCAUCCUUAAUGGGGAAAAACUGGGACCUCUCCCCCUGAGAUCAGGAACAUGACAGGGAUGUCCACUCUCACUGCUGUUGUUUAACAUAGUGUUGGAAGCCCUAGCCUCAACAAUCAGUCAAAAAAUGAAAUAAAAGUCAUCCAAAUUGCCAAAGAAGUUAAACUUUCACUUUUCACAGAUGACAUGAUACUCUACAUGGAAAACCCGAAAGACUCCACCAAAAAACUGCUAGAACUGAUACAUGAAUUCAGCAAAUUUGCAGGAUGUAAGAUCAAUGUACAGAAUUCAGUUGCAUUUCUGUACACCAAUAAUGAAGUGACAGAGAAAUCAAGAAAUUGAUCCCAUUUAAAAUUGCACCAAGAACCUUAAAAUCCCUAGAAAUAAACCUAAGUUGCAAAAAAUCUUUAUGCUGAAAACUUUAGAAAACUUAUGAAAGAAAUUGAAGAAGAUACACAGAAAUGGAAAAACAUUCCAUGCUCAUGGAUUGGAAGAAAAAAUAUUGUUUAAAUGUCAACACUACCCAAAGCAAUCUACACAUUCAAUGCAAUCCCAAUCAAAAUCGCACCAGCAUUCUUCUCAGAGCUAGAACAAACAGUCCUAAAAUUUGUAUGGAGCCACAAAGGACCCGAAUAGCCAAGGUAAUGUUGAAAAAGAAAACCAAAGUUGGAGGCAUCACAGUCUUUAGCCUCUACUACAGACUUUAGCCUUUGCUACAAAGCUGUAAUCAUCAAGACAGUAUCAUAUUGGCACAAAAACAGUCACAUAGAUUAGUGGAAUAGAAUAGAGAACCCAGAAUUGGACCCACAAAUGUAUGGCCAACUAAUCUUUGACAAGGCAGGAAAAAGUAUGCAUUGGAAAAAAGAGAGUCUCUUUAGCAAAUGGUGCUGGGAGAGCUGGACAACAACAUGCAAAAGGAUGAAACUAGACCACUUUCUUAUACCAUACACAAAAAUAAACUCAAAAUGUGAGGCAGGAAACCAUCAAAAACCCUAGAGGAGAAAACAGGCAACAACUUUUUUGGCCUCAGCCACAGCAACUUCUUACUUGACAUAUCUCUAAAGGAAAGGGAAAUAAAAGCAAACAUGAACUAUUGGGACCUCAUCAAGAUAAAAGUCUUCUGCACAGCAAAGGAAACAACAAAACUAAAAGGCAACAAAUGGAAUGGGAAAAGAUAUUUGCAAAUGACAUAUCAGAUAAAGGGUUAGUAUCCAAAAUCUAUAAAGAAUUUACCAAACUCAAUACCCAAAAAACAAUCCAGUGAAGAAAUGGGCAGGCAGGAGACAUGAAUAGUCACUUUUUCAAAGAAGACAUCUAGAUGUCCAACAGACACAUGACAAGAUGUUCAACAUCACUUCUCAUCAGGGAAAUACAAAUCAAAACCACCAUGAGAUACCACCUCAUAUCUGUCAGAAUGGCUAAAAUUAACAACUCAGGAAUGAACAGAUGCUCAUGGGGAUGUGGAGAAAUGGGAACCCUCUUGCACUGUUGGUGGGAAUGCAAACUGGUGCAGCCACUCUGGAAACAGUAUGGAGGUUCUUCAAAAAUUAACAAUAGAAUUAUCCUAUGACCCAGCAAUAGCACUACUAGGAACUUAUUCAAAGGAUUCAGGAGUGCUGAUUCAUAGGGGCACAUGUACUCCAAUGUUUAUAGCAGCACUAUCAACAAUAAUCAAAGUAUGGAAAGAGCCCAAAUGUCCAUCAACUGAAGAAUGGCUAAGAAGAUGUGAUUUAUAUGUACAACGGAAUACUACUUGACAAUGAGAAAGAAUGCAAUCUUGCCAUUAGCAACAACGUGGAUGGAACUGGAGGGUAUUAUGGUAAGUGAAAUAAGUCAGUCAGAGAGAGACAGAUAUCAUAUAUUUUUACUCAUAUAUGGAAUUUGAGAAACUUAACAGAAGACCAUGGGGGAAGGGAAGGGGGAAAUAGUUUCAAACAGAGAGGGAGGUAAACCAUAAGAGACUCUUAAAUACAGAGAACAAACUGAGGGUUGAUGGAGGGGCAAGGGAGAGGGAAAUGGAUGAUGGGCAUUGAGGAGGGCACUUGUUGAGAUGGGGCACUGGUUGUUGUAUGUAAACAAUGAAUCAUGGGAAUCUACUUCUGAAUCCGAGAGCAUACACUGUAUGUUAGGUAACUUGACGAUAAAUUGUAUUAACAAAAAAAAAAAAAAGUAUUGCCCUGGAGGUGCUGAUUAAUUGUAAAAUUUUUAAAAAUUAAAUUCUAAAAAUAUUAGAAAUGGAUGUUUUUUGUAAUUUCCAAACAGUACCUUCUCCCUUAGAAACCUAAGAAAAGCAUUAGAAUUAGCAAAUCAGCAUGAUUUGAAAAUAAUAUUUGAAAUCAGUGUAAUAUAUUGAGAUCAGUGUAAUAAUAAUUAGAAAAUAUGAUAGGAAAAUUAUCCCAUUUGCCACAACACUGGCAACUAUGAUACCUUGGAAUAAUCUAAAAUGAAAAAAACUUUAUGAAGAAAAAACACAGCUUUUCUAAAGGAAUAAAGAAUAGAGAGAUAACCCAUGUUCAUGAUAGAAGAAUUACUACUUUUAAGAGGCCAUAUAUUGAAAGCAAUACUGAUAAAAUUGCUACCGUUUGAAAAACAGAAUGUAAAAAGAUGAUUAUCUGGUUUAUAUGCAUCUGUACAAGUACAUGAGUAGUCAAGACAAUCUUGCAGAAACAAAAAGGCAGAGGAAGGGGUAGACCUGCCCUGUGAAUUAUGAAGACAAAGUUAAAUUUUAUCAUUGAGACCAGCAGCAUCAGUGCAUGAAUAGACCAUAGAGGAUCAAGAAACAGACCUAUGUAUAUUUUGAAAUUUGGUAUACAAUAGGUGACAUUUCAAAUCAGAAUGGAGAAAUGAUGCUUCAGUAAGUGAUCUUGGAAGGACUGGCUAUCCACAUGGAAUGAAGCAGAUUCUUUCCUCAUACUGUGCACAAAAGUAAGUUUUUUAUGUGUGAAGGAUCUAAACUUUCUUUUAAGUUAUAGGGAAAAAAUUAUAAAAGAGUAGGCUUUUAAAGCAGGAUUAAAUAAUACAAAAGCAAAACUUAGAGCAAAAUAAUUAGUCUAUAUAAAGAUUUAAAUCUUUUGUACAAGUGACACCAUAACCAAAAUUAAGACAUGCUGUUGACAGCAACCCCUAAAUUGAGCAAAGAGGAAACAUAAUUUGCAGAAGAAACCAAAUCCUAAAGUACAGAUAAAGUGCUCAAAAUCAUUAGUAAUCACAACAAAAUAAAACAGCAAUGACCUAUCACUUUGUACUAUUAGGCUGGCCAAUAAAAAGAAAGAAAGAAAGCUGGAUGAUGCCGAGUGUUUGCAGACGCAUAGAGAUAUGCGACCCAAUGAUGGAAGCUGCCUCUACCUGGCUCACAUCUGAACGUCUUUGGCCAAUCCAAGCUUUCCAGAUUCCAAACAACGUCCUUACCAACCGUAGAUCUCACGAGCAACUUCUGACCUGCUGAGUUCUAGGAUCAAGAAGGAGGGCAGCUUGUGCCACAGUUGGGAUCUUCUCUGGACCCUUGGGAAUUUGGCAGCCUCUGGGGUUAUCCAAUAAAUGAAUCAGAUUAUUCCCAACUUUGGUACUUGUUUCCUCCAAAUUCAAAUUCCAAAGAGACCCACAAUGUAUUGUUUUCAUUGUUUUUAUUUAAGUGGAGAGAUAUUUCAAGUGCAGCAGCUUGCCCAUCACCUGUGAAGAAACAUCCCGACCUGACCUUGAUCUACCCAGUGCCUGGAAAUAGCCAUAAGCUCCUGUGAGAAAUGGUUGCAGGAAUAUUUACUGUGUACAUUUGCAUGGAGUUACAGGAGUGUUACUAAAGGGGGACUGACCUUCCACUUCAUGUACUCUGAGUCUGUAAAUUUAGAGCUGAGCCCUGGGUGUGGGACCCUGAUUUUCCAUUAAGGUAGCAAACGGCUAAUUAUUUAUUUAUUUUGCUUGCUUGUUUAUGUAAAUAAAUUAUCACCCUAGAGAACUGUGGUAUCAGCCACUACCUGAGAUCCCUGCAGAUCAAACCAUCUUAAUUGCCACUCCAACUUUGCCUGUCCUUAGUCUGCUGAGAUGGCUUUAGGUAUUUUUGCUUAAGUAAAAAUCAUGAAUCAAAGGUGAGUGCCCGGGUCAAUAAAUGACCUCUCUGCUCUUAAGUUCUACAUUCCCUUAUCUAACACCAGGGUCCACUUUUACACAGACUCCCCAGGCCCUGUUGUUAGGCAGCUCCUGUAAUACCUUUUGUUAUAUAGGCAUUUUUUCCUCAUAGGAGGACUUUUUAUUUCUCUCCCCAGGCUGUGCUGGUACCUGACUCUUGGUAUCAACACAGAGACAAUGAGGAGUUGGGGGAAUGGAGGGGCAGGUAGGUCCUGAGAAGGACAGACAUCAUCAUUUAAGGCAUCCACUUCAGGUGAGGCUAAUGUGGAAAACGCUGUUUCUGCCAUCAGGAAGUGUUCAGGGACAUGAGGGGGAGGGGUAUCAAAAUUAUCAGAUUGUGCUUCCAAAUAUCCCAAUCCCAAAUAUUAGAGUAUUACUCAUCCUGCAUCUGGGCCUGAUUUUCACAUAAAACCUGCUGAGGCUGUAAAUGUAAACUCCUUUGCAUUCCACCCUGUGUUGACAGGAGAUAAAGUUCUCUGGCUUUCAGAUAUUUUCUUAAGUUGGAGAAUGACUGUCAUUUAAUUUUUGUAAACUGACAUGAUAUUGAAUUUCAUCCAAGUACUAGAAGGUAAACUAAUUCAAGUAGGUCACUGACCAAGAGAAAGAAGCAGGAGUUCUCGAGAAUAUAAGGAGGUACACAGUUUACUUCCCAAUAUGGACAUCACAUCUACAACUACAGAAUCUAUUUUCUUUGCAAGUACACAGAGCAUUUACAAAAAAAAUGAAAUAUACUGGGAAAUAAAUCAAGUCUCAGUAAAUAGUAAAGAAUUACUAUUAUUCAAAGUAUGUUCGCUGACCACAAUAAAAUUAUUUUAGAAAUAAAUGACAAAAAUAUCAGAAAUUUCCAUGUUUUGAAAUUAAGCUUACUACAAAAUAACCACAUGUCAAAGAGCACGUUGAAAGAGAAAUUUAAUUACUUUUGAACAAAUGAUGAAAAAAUACUAUGAAUCAAAACCUGCAAAGUGCAGCCAACUCAGGAUGAGGUCGAAUUUUGUAACCAUAAGGGCCUAUAUUGGGAAAGAAAAAAAAAGCUACAAAUUAAUGAGCUUCCAAUCGAUCUUAAAAUGUUAUAAAAAAUAACAGGAAAACAAAAAUGGAAAUGAAACAAUAAAAACAAUGAAUUCAUAAAACAAAAAAAUGCAUGAUAAAAAGGAACAACAAAAGUUAACAUGUGGCUCUUUGACAAGACUAAUAAAACUGACAACUCCUUACAAAGACUAACAGAAAGAAACAGCACAAAAAGCCAACAGUGGGGAUGUGAAAGAGGACAUUACUAAGGAGAGUGUGGAGGAUAUCAUGAAUAAUGAUAUGCCGGUAAAUUCUCAAUCUGGAUGACAUGGAUGAAUCCUACAAAAGUAUUACCCUGCUAGAAGGAGUCAGAAAGCUGAAGAGUCCUAUAUUCAUUUAAAAAAAGAAUUGAACAGAGUUGAGAGUUUCCUCAGAAAUUAACAGAGAAGAUAUGUAGAUGACAAAUAGCGCUUGAAAAAUGUUCAGGAUCAUUAGUUACUGUGGAAUGAAAAUUACAAUCACAGCUACUAGUAUAGGUAAAAUUUUAAAGGUAAGAGUGGAAAAUAACAAUUGUUGGCCAGGAUGUGGAGCAGUAGGAACUCUCCUGGCCUGCUGUGGGGAAGACAAAAUGGUUCAUCCUCUUUGGAAAAUGGUUAAACAGUUUCUUACCAAGUUACACAUGCACUUAACAGACCAGCAAUCCAUCCCAUUUCUUGUGUUUACCUAAGAGUAAAAAAAAAUACAUGUGUACCAUAAGAAAGAGUCUAACAUCUUUUGAUGUUUUUGGACAAUUUUUAAGCCUAACACCUCUCUCUUCCCCUUCUUCCCAGUUUCAAGCAAGCUAAUAAUACCUCAACACAGGUGCUCUCUCACUGCUUUCGUGAAGAUAUGAGGCUCAAACCACACAAGUCCCUGCCCAUGCUCUGGAACCUUCCUCCAGCCCCACUCCCAUAAAACUCCAAGCCAGUCUCCUUUCCUUGAUCUUCUAAGUCAUUUUUUGGGCCUGCUUGGCAGGCAUUCUGCUCUCCCCAGAAAGCCUCCUUAUGUGAAUAAGUGAGUAAGAAGUCUUUUCUUAAUUUGGGGUGCCUGGGUGGCUCAGUUGGUUCAGCAUCUGACUUCAGGUCAUAAUCUCACAGUUUGUGAGUUUGAGCCUCACAUCGGGCUCUGCUGACAGCUCAGAGCCGGGAGCCUGCUUCGGGUUCUGUGUCUCCCUCCCUCUCUCUCUCUGCUUCUCCCCCACUUGUGUGCUGUCUCUCUCAAAAAUAAAUAAAUAAACAUUAAAACAAAUGUUUUUUUUUUUUUUUUACAAAAAGAAGUCUUUUCUUAAUUUGUGCUAGCAUCAUCAGUCUGGACAUCCAAACCAAACUUGGCAAAUCUGCCUCUGCAAGGUGACUGCCAUAUCCGUGCAAAGGCUUGCGUGUGAAUGUUUAUAGGAGCUUAUUGAAAACAGCCAGGUACAGGAACAACCCAAAUGUUCAUCAACUGGUGAGUGGAUAGACAAGUUGUAGUUCAUCUAUAUACACAGUGAAAUACCACUCAGCAAUAAAAAGGAACAAAAUCCUGAUACAUACACAAGCAUGGAUGAAUCUCAAAGGUGUUAUGCUAGGUGAAAGAAGCCAGUCACAAAGGCUAUAUACUGGUUGAUUCCACUAUAGGAAUAGAAAAUCAAAUUAGCAGUUUCCUGGGCCUGGGUAAGGAGAGAGGAUUGAAAACAAAGGAGCAUGAAAAGAUUUUUGGUUGGUGUUAAUGGUCUACAUCUUGUGGUAGUGGUAUAUGAUGUGUACAUUUGUCCAAAUUCAAUGAUCUGUACAUAAACCUGACUUAAAAGGAAAAAACUUCCUCAAAAUGUAAGCUCCAGGCUUCACUGGUGAGUUCUGCUAAAUAUUCAAUGAAAAAGUAAUUCUAAACCUCAUACCGUUCCCAGAGAAUAGAAAUAAGUGAAUAUUCCCAACAUUUUACAAGGCUAGCAUAGCUUGAUAAUGAAACCUGACAAAGACAUAAAGAGAAAAGAAAAUUAUAGGUUUAUAAUUAUAAACAUGGAUACAAAAUGG
Panthera uncia (snow leopard) is the source of this 15469-nucleotide RNA transcript. It is a transcript of the gene named F-box/WD repeat-containing protein 12-like, with no coding region annotated. Lineage: Eukaryota; Metazoa; Chordata; Mammalia; Carnivora; Felidae. The transcript has 11 exons. The record is from RefSeq and is a predicted model, not a curated record.